This 705-nucleotide ribosomal RNA is filed under the name Triticum aestivum (bread wheat). RNAcentral describes it as "partial small subunit ribosomal RNA". The record is from RNAcentral. Lineage: Eukaryota; Viridiplantae; Streptophyta; Magnoliopsida; Poales; Poaceae.
AUGCAAGUCGAAGAAGGAUUGCCAGUGCUGCCGGCUGGCGUCAAGUUCGAUCCCACGGAUCAGGAGCUGAUCGAGCACCUUGAGGCCAAAGUGAGUGCUGACAGCGCGAGAUCUCACCCUCUCAUCGAUUUGUUCAUACCAACCAUCGACAGCGAGCACGACAUAUGCUACACCCAUCCUGAGAAACUUCUAGGUAUCACACUGAGUGGCCUAAGCAAGCAUUUCUUCCAGCGCAAUUCCAGGGCGUUCAAAAGGGGCACGUGGACGCGUCGCAAGAUACAGUCGGAGUGCGGCAUGCACGCGAUGUGGCACAACACCGGCAAUACCUUGCCGGUGAUGGUCAACGGCCGGCAGACAGGCAGCAAAAAGGUUCUAGUGCUGCACACCAACAAGAACUUCGACCAGCAGAGGACCAAUUGGGUGAUGCACCAGUACCACCUCGGGGACCUGGAGCAAGAGAAGGAGCGGGAGCUGGUCCUCUGCAAGAUUUUCUACCAGACAAACACUAGGGCCAGGAGUAAAAAGAUUAUAAGUCGAGCAAGUUUCAACUGGGCUGUAGACUGCCCAGGCUUGGUUUUGUUUUUAACAGUCCCAGCCCAUGACGACAACGGGGCACGAAGAUCCAGCAGGCACUUCUUUACUGAAUCAAACACACAGCCCAGUUCUAUUUUCCUCUUGAAACGCAUGUCCUACAUCCGUUUCUAA